RNAcentral lists this ribosomal RNA (580 nucleotides) under uncultured bacterium. RNAcentral describes it as "partial 16S ribosomal RNA". It matches the Rfam family "Bacterial small subunit ribosomal RNA", at positions 355 to 932 of the family's 1533-position model. The record is from RNAcentral.
UGGGGAAUUUUGGACAAUGGGCGAAAGCCUGAUCCAGCAAUGCCGCGUGUGUGAAGAAGGCCUUCGGGUUGUAAAGCACUUUUGUCCGGAAAGAAAUCCUUGGCUCUAAUACAGUCGGGGGAUGACGGUACCGGAAGAAUAAGCACCGGCUAACUACGUGCCAGCAGCCGCGGUAAUACGUAGGGUGCAAGCGUUAAUCGGAAUUACUGGGCGUAAAGCGUGCGCAGGCGGUUUGCUAAGACCGAUGUGAAAUCCCCGGGCUCAACCUGGGAACUGCAUUGGUGACUGGCAGGCUAGAGUAUGGCAGAGGGGGGUAGAAUUCCACGUGUAGCAGUGAAAUGCGUAGAGAUGUGGAGGAAUACCGAUGGCGAAGGCAGCCCCCUGGGGCCAAUACUGACGCUCAUGCACGAAAAGCGUGGGGAGCAAACAGGAUUAGAUACCCUGGUAGUCCACGCCCUAAACGAUGUCAACUAGUUGUUGGGGAUUCAUUUCCUUAGUAACGUAGCUAACGCGUGAAGUUGACCGCCUGGGGAGUACGGUCGCAAGAUUAAAACUCAAUGAAUUGACGGGGUCAUAGCUG